Molecule: ribosomal RNA, 479 nt
Filed under: uncultured bacterium
Lineage: Bacteria
Description: partial 16S ribosomal RNA
Rfam family: Bacterial small subunit ribosomal RNA
Source: RNAcentral
GAUGAACGCUAGCGGGAGGCCUAACACAUGCAAGCCGAGCGGUAUUGUUUUUUUGGAAAUGCUAGAGCGGCGUACGGGUGCGUAACACGUGUGCAACCUGCCUUUCUCUGGGGUAUAGCCUUUCGAAAGGAAGAUUAAUACGCCAUAAUAUAUUGAACGGCAUCGUUUAAUAUUGAAAGCUCCGGCGUUUAGAGUUGGGCACGCGUAAGAUUAGCUAGUUGGUGAUGUAAUGGCUCACCAAGGCGAUGAUCUUUAGGGGGCCGGAGAGGGUGAUCCCCCACAAUGGUACUGAGACACGGACCAGACUCCUACGGGAGGCAGCGGUGAGGAAUAUUGGUCAAGGGGGGCAAACCUGGAACAGCCACCCCGCGUGAAGGACGACUGCCUUAUGGGUUGUAAACUUCUUUUGUAUAAGGAUAAACCUACCCUCGAGAGGGUAGCUGAAGGUACUAUACGAAUAAGCACCGGCUAACUCCGUG